UCGUCGCUCGCAGGCCUAACACAUGCAAGUCGUGCGAGAAAGGGCUUCGGCCCCAGUAAAGCGGCGCACGGGUGAGUAAC
Molecule: ribosomal RNA, 80 nt
Filed under: Aeromonas salmonicida subsp. salmonicida 01-B526
Lineage: Bacteria; Pseudomonadati; Pseudomonadota; Gammaproteobacteria; Aeromonadales; Aeromonadaceae
Description: partial 16S ribosomal RNA
Source: RNAcentral